CCGCCCUUAGCUCAGUCGGAUAGAGCAACGGCCUUCUAAGCCGUAGGUCACACGUUCGAAUCGUGUAGGGCGGGCCA
RNAcentral lists this transfer RNA (77 nucleotides) under Burkholderia mallei. RNAcentral's name for it is "tRNA-Arg (TCT) (tRNA-Arg-TCT-1-1)". It matches the Rfam family "tRNA". Rfam says of the family: Transfer RNA (tRNA) molecules are approximately 80 nucleotides in length. Their secondary structure includes four short double-helical elements and three loops (D, anti-codon, and T loops). The record is from RNAcentral. Lineage: Bacteria; Pseudomonadati; Pseudomonadota; Betaproteobacteria; Burkholderiales; Burkholderiaceae. RNAcentral also lists the same sequence under 166 other names.